RNAcentral lists this ribosomal RNA (447 nucleotides) under uncultured bacterium. RNAcentral's name for it is "partial 16S ribosomal RNA". It matches the Rfam family "Bacterial small subunit ribosomal RNA", at positions 29 to 523 of the family's 1533-position model. The record is from RNAcentral.
AACGAACGCUGGCGGCAGGCUUAACACAUGCAAGUCGAGCGCCCCGCAAGGGGAGCGGCAGACGGGUGAGUAACGCGUGGGAACGUACCCUUUACUACGGAAUAGCCCUGGGAAACUGGAAUUAAUACCGUAUGUGCCCUUCGGGGGAAAGAUUUAUCGGUAAAGGAUCGGCCCGCGUUGGAUUAGCUAGUUGGUGGGGUAAAGGCCUACCAAGGCGACGAUCCAUAGCUGGUCUGAGAGGAUGAUCAGCCACAUUGGGACUGAGACACGGCCCAAACUCCUACGGGAGGCAGCAGUGGGGAAUAUUGGACAAUGGGCGCAAGCCUGAUCCAGCCAUGCCGCGUGAGUGAUGAAGGCCUUAGGGUUGUAAAGCUCUUUCACCGAUGAAGAUAAUGACGGUAGUCGGAGAAGAAGCCCCGGCUAACUUCGUGCCAGCAGCCGCCGCGG